This 486-nucleotide ribosomal RNA is filed under the name uncultured Glomeromycotina. RNAcentral's name for it is "SSU rRNA". It matches the Rfam family "Eukaryotic small subunit ribosomal RNA", at positions 591 to 1078 of the family's 1831-position model. The record is from RNAcentral. Lineage: Eukaryota; Fungi; Glomeromycota.
CCAAUAGCGUAUAUUAAAGUUGUUGCAGUUAAAAAGCUCGUAGUUGAAUUUCGGGGUUAGUAAGUUGGUCAUGCCUUCGGUAUGUACUGGCUUUACUGAUUCCUCCUUCUUGACGAACUGUAAUGUCAUUAAUUUGGUGUUGCAGGAAAUCAGGACUGUUACUUUGAAAAAAUUAGAGUGUUUAAAGCAGGCUUACGCUUGAAUACAUUAGCAUGGAAUAAUGAAAUAGGACGUUUGAUCCUAUUUUGUUGGUUUCUAGGAUUGACGUAAUGAUUAAUAGGGAUAGUUGGGGGCAUUAGUAUUCAAUUGUCAGAGGUGAAAUUCUUGGAUUUAUUGAAGACUAACUACUGCGAAAGCAUUUGCCGAGGAUGUUUUCAUUAAUCAAGAACGAAAGUUAGGGGAUCAAAGACGAUCAGAUACCGUCGCAGACUUAACCAUAAACUAUGCAGACUAGGGAUCGGAUGACCUUAAAUUUAUAAUAACGCA